GUGAAUCAUCAAAUUUUUGAACGCAAAUUGCACUUUCUGGUAUUCCGGAAAGUAUGCCUGUUUGAGGGUCAGUUAAAUAAAAAUCGGUGUUGUUGCUGCUUUUCGUGGUGACUCGUCGGUAGUGAUUGGGCUUACCUUCGGUUAAGUUACUUAAAAUUUUAAAUGAUUUUCGAACGUUUUUAGUUUUCUUAUUAACGUUUAAGAUAUCGAUUACUUUUUU
RNAcentral lists this unclassified non-coding RNA (220 nucleotides) under Glomus sp. Its description in RNAcentral is "partial contains 5.8S ribosomal RNA and internal transcribed spacer 2". The stretch from base 1 to 71 matches the Rfam family "5.8S ribosomal RNA", at positions 84 to 154 of the family's 154-position model. The record is from RNAcentral. Lineage: Eukaryota; Fungi; Glomeromycota; Glomeromycetes; Glomerales; Glomeraceae.